This 484-nucleotide ribosomal RNA is filed under the name uncultured bacterium. RNAcentral describes it as "partial 16S ribosomal RNA". It matches the Rfam family "Bacterial small subunit ribosomal RNA", at positions 30 to 507 of the family's 1533-position model. The record is from RNAcentral.
AUUGAACGCUGGCGGCAGGCCUAACACAUGCAAGUCGAGCGGAUGAAGGGAGCUUGCUCCUGGAUUCAGCGGCGGACGGGUGAGUAAUGCCUAGGAAUCUGCCUGGUAGUGGGGGAUAACGUCCGGAAACGGGCGCUAAUACCGCAUACGUCCUGAGGGAGAAAGUGGGGGAUCUUCGGACCUCACGCUAUCAGAUGAGCCUAGGUCGGAUUAGCUAGUUGGUGGGGUAAAGGCCUACCAAGGCGACGAUCCGUAACUGGUCUGAGAGGAUGAUCAGGCACACUGGAACUGAGACACGGUCCAGACUCCUACGGGAGGCAGCAGUGGGGAAUAUUGGACGAUGGGCGAAAGCCUGAUCCAGCCAUGCCGCGUGUGUGAAGAAGGUCUUCGGAUUGGAAAGCACUUUAAGUUGGGAGGAAGGGCAGUAAGUUAAUACCUUGCUGUUUUGACGUUACCAACAGAAUAAGCACCGGCUAACUUCGUG